AGCCCGGGGUCCCGGAGCAGCCCGCUAGGCGGUGGCGGUGGCGGCGGCGAGGAGGGGGCGUCGGGCGCGGAGCCUGGGCCUGGCGCGGGGCGGGGGUGGCGGGGACCUCGGGGCGGGGCGCGCUGACGGACGCGGCCAGUGCCAUGCUCACCACACCAACUUCUAACAGCAGCCACAAUCCGCCAGCCACCGAUGUCAAUCAGAACCCACCGGCAACUGUUGUCCCACAGAGCCUGCCACUUUCUAGCAUCCAACAGAAUUCCUCAGAGGCCCAACUCCCAUCUAAUGGCACAGGGCCUGCUUCCAAACCCAGCACCCUGUGUGCUGAUGGGCAACCCCAGGCACCGGCUGAGGAGGUGAGAUGCAGCACACUCCUAAUUGACAAGGUAUCAACUCCAGCUACCACCACCAGCACCUUCUCCAGAGAAGCUACGCUCAUCCCCAGCUCCAGGCCCCCAGCCUCAGAUUUCAUGUCCAGCUCCCUGCUCAUUGACAUCCAGCCCAACACCCUAGUGGUGUCAGCAGAUCAAGAGAUGUCUGGGCGAGCA
RNAcentral lists this small RNA (548 nucleotides) under Pan troglodytes (chimpanzee). RNAcentral describes it as "processed transcript". The record is from RNAcentral. Lineage: Eukaryota; Metazoa; Chordata; Mammalia; Primates; Hominidae.